Molecule: ribosomal RNA, 449 nt
Filed under: uncultured bacterium
Lineage: Bacteria
Description: bacterial SSU rRNA
Rfam family: Bacterial small subunit ribosomal RNA
Source: RNAcentral
GUGGGGAAUAUUGGACAAUGGGCGAAAGCCUGAUCCAGCAAUACCGCGUGUGUGAAGAAGGCCUGAGGGUUGUAAAGCACUUUCAAUAGGAAGGAAUACCUGCCGGUUAAUACCCGGCAGACUGACAUUACCUAUACAAGAAGCACCGGCUAACUCCGUGCCAGCAGCCGCGGUAAUACGGAGGGUGCAAGCGUUAAUCGGAAUUACUGGGCGUAAAGCGUGCGUAGGCGGCUUAUUAAGUCAGAUGUGAAAGCCCUGGGCUUAACCUGGGAACUGCAUUUGAAACUGGUAAGCUAGAGUUGAGUAGAGGAGAGUGGAAUUUCAGGUGUAGCGGUGAAAUGCGUAGAGAUCUGAAGGAACACCAGUGGCGAAGGCGGCUCUCUGGACUCAAACUGACGCUGAGGUACGAAAGCGUGGGUAGCAAACAGGAUUAGAAACCCUAGUAGUCC